GUGAGAAAAAGGCAAACUGUUUGAAAAGACAGGACGCAAAGCCUAGGGUCUAAGGGUAUAAUUACCUAUGAUGGCCUGGUUACCUAA
RNAcentral lists this non-coding RNA (87 nucleotides) under Gracilibacillus orientalis. RNAcentral's name for it is "GEMM cis-regulatory element". It matches the Rfam family "c-di-GMP-I riboswitch aptamer". From Rfam's summary of the family: GEMM was predicted in a large-scale screen for bacterial structured RNA regulatory elements. Lineage: Bacteria; Bacillati; Bacillota; Bacilli; Caryophanales; Bacillaceae. The record is from RNAcentral.